This is a long non-coding RNA of Coregonus clupeaformis (lake whitefish), 375 nucleotides long. RefSeq lists it as uncharacterized. The transcript is spliced from 3 exons. The record is from RefSeq and is a predicted model, not a curated record. Lineage: Eukaryota; Metazoa; Chordata; Actinopteri; Salmoniformes; Salmonidae.
CACGCCCUCAGGAUGGAGAGCACGGCAGUCUCCCUCAGCCCAUCUUAGAGGAAGGAAGAGAGGGGGAGGGGGGAGGUCCCUUUAAGAGACCACCAGGUCCCCGCUCCAGAAACCCCAAGACAGUCACAUGGGCCCCAGAUGGGGAGGGGCCUAAAGAGGAAGAGGGGGGGCAUGGGCAGGAAGAGGAAGUGUUGAAACGGGAAGUAGAAGAACGUCAGAAGCUGCAGAGGCUGGAGAAGGCAGGGAUUAAAGUUCUACCUGCUGUGAUUCGCUACAGCAGACCGACGCCCCCUCCGGAGAAACAGGAAGUGAGGUCGCCAUCCCCUAACAUCAUUCUGCGUCGCCAUAACGACUUCCUGACCAACCAGAAGGCUG